GCAAUGGGCCACAGAGCCGCCAUGCCGGAACCGCGCGGGUCGUCGCAGCUGCGGGUUAACGCGGCGUUUGCCGCGCGGUACAACCGCUACCGGGAACGCGAGGAACUGCAGCGGCGUGAGUGCGGGGCGCCUGCGCGCGGGAGCCUGCGCGCGCCGGCCGGUUGGGAAGUGGGGAGUCGAGUGGACCCGCCGGCUGACCUGGGGGGGGCAUCCCGUCUGUGUCCCGCAGUGAAGGAUCGCUACGGGGACCGAGACAGCAGCAGCGACUCCAGCUCCGAGUCGGACUCCAGCGACGAGCGCGUGGAAUUUGACCCCCAGCAGGAGCGGGACUUUUACAAAACGCUCUCCUUGUUGAAGAAGAAGGACCCCCGCAUUUAUCAGAAAGAUGCCACCUUCUAUAACAGAACAGCAUCAUCAUCAGACAGUGAGGAGGACCCAGAAGCCUUGGAGAAGCAGAAGAAAGUGCGGCCCAUGUACCUGAAGGACUACGAGAGGAAGGUUAUCUUGGAGAAGGCAGGCAAAUAUGUUGACGAGGAGAACUCAGACGGGGAGACUUCCAAUCACAGACUCCAGGUGGGUGGGGUGAAGGCUGGGUCGGGGGGCUGAGGGGCCUGGGGCUGGCCUGAGACCUAUGGCCCUCUCUGCAGGAGACAUCGUCGCAAAGUUAUGUGGAGGAACAGAAACAGCUCAAGGAAAGCUUCCGGGCAUUUGUGGAGGACAGUGAGGACGAGGACGGCGCUGGGGAGGGCGGCUCCAGUUUGCUGCAGAAACGUGCCAAAACCAGGCAGGAGAAGGCCCAGGAGGAGGCCGACUACAUCGAGUGGCUGAAGGGACAGAAAGAGAUUCGGAACCCAGAUUCCCUGAAGGAACUGACGCAUCUCAAGGAAUACUGGAACGACCCUGAGUUGGAUGAAGGGGAGCGGUUCCUGCGGGAUUACAUCCUCAACAAACGCUACGAGGAGGAGGAAGAGGAGGAGGAAAUGGAGGAAGAGGAGGGGGUCCACGGUCCCCCAGUCCAGCUGGCUGUGGACGACUCCUCAGACGAAGGGGAGCUGUUUCUGAAGAACCAGGAGGACUUUGAACAGAAGUACAAUUUCCGUUUCGAGGAGCCGGACUCAGCAUCGGUCAAGACCUACCCACGCAGCAUCGCGUCCUCCGUGCGCCGUAAGGAUGAGCGCAGAAAGGAGAAGAGGGAAGAGACUCGGGAGCGAAAGAAGAGGGAGAAAGCCAAGAAGCAGGAGGAGCUCAAGCAGCUGAAGAACCUGAAGAGGAAGGAGAUUCUGGCCAAGCUGGAGAAGCUGCGGAAAGUAACAGGCAACGAGACGCUGGGCCUCGAGGAGGGGGACCUUGAAGAUGACUUCGACCCUGCCCAGCACGACCAGCUCAUGCAGAAGUGCUUUGGGGACGAGUACUACGGGGCCGUGGAGGAGGAGAAGCCACAAUUUGAGGAAGAAGAAGGGCUUGAAGACGACUGGAACUGGGACACGUGGGACGGGCCUGAGCAGGAGGGAGACUGGAGCCAGCAGGAGCUGCACUGUGAGGACCCCAACUUCAACGUAGGUAUCACGGGUUGAGGGAGUCCCAGGGGCCCUGACGGGGGGCUGGUGGGAUCUGACCUGUGCGUCCUGGCAGAUGGACGCCGACUACGACCCCAGCCAGCCGAGGAAGAAAAAGCGCGAGGCCCCCUUGACAGGCAAGAAGAAGCGCAAGUCGCCCUUCGCCGCGGCCGUGGGGCAGGAGAAGCCCGUGUUCGAACCCGGGGAUAAGACGUUCGAGGAGUACCUGGAUGAGUAUUACCGGCUGGACUACGAGGACAUCAUCGACGACCUGCCCUGUCGCUUCAAGUACCGCACAGUGGUGCCCUGUGACUUUGGCCUCAGCACUGAGGAGAUAUUCGCUGCUGACGAUAAGGAGCUGAACCGGUGGUGCUCCCUAAAGAAGACCUGCAUGUACAGGUCAGAGCAGGAGGAGCUGCGGGACAAGCGGGCGUACAGCCAGAAGGCCCAGAACUCAUGGAAAAAGCGGCAGGUCUUCAAGUCACUCUGCCGAGAAGAGGCAGAGACACCUGCGGAAGCCACAGGGAAGCCACACAGAGAUGAAGCCGGCCCACAGAGGCAGCUGCCAGCCCUUGAUGGCAGCUUGAUGGGGCUGGAGAGUCCCCCAGCACAGGAAGAGGAAGCCCCUGUAUCACCCCACAAGAAGCCAGCCCCCCAGAAGCGGAGGAGGGCCAAGAAGGCACGGCUGCUGGGCCCCACUGUGAUGCUUGGUGGAUGCGAGUUCAGCCGCCAGAGACUGCAGGCCUUUGGCCUCAACCCCAAACGGCUGCACUUCCGCCAGCUGGGCUGGCAGCGGAGGAAACAACAGGGGCCCAAGAACAGCUCCUGAGCACCAGGGAGCAGGCAGGGGCCUCAGGCUCCUCUCCUCAAAUCAAGCCCUGGACAGGUCUCGCACCCACAAGUACUAUCUGCUGCAGAGAUCCUCUCAUCUGUGGCCAGGCACGCCUGUAAUCCCAGCACUUUGGGAGGCCGAGGUGAAAGGAUCACUUGAGCCCAGGAAUUGGAGACCAGCGUGGGCAACUUAGCGAGACUCCAUCUCUACAAAAUGUGGUGACACAUGCCUGUAGUCCCAGCUACUCAGGAGGCUGGGGAAGGAAGAUCACUUAAGGCCAUGAGUUUUGAGGCUACAGAGAGCUAUGAUUGCACCACUGCACUCCAGCCUGGGCAAAAAAGAGACUCCUGUCUCUUG
RNAcentral lists this small RNA (2745 nucleotides) under Pan troglodytes (chimpanzee). Its description in RNAcentral is "retained intron". The record is from RNAcentral. Lineage: Eukaryota; Metazoa; Chordata; Mammalia; Primates; Hominidae.